This 1341-nucleotide ribosomal RNA is filed under the name Juncus effusus. Its description in RNAcentral is "bacterial LSU rRNA". The record is from RNAcentral. Lineage: Eukaryota; Viridiplantae; Streptophyta; Magnoliopsida; Poales; Juncaceae.
CGAAAGACUAUGGUAGGGGAGCGUUCUGCAGGCGGAGAAGGCCAACUGGAAAGUUGACUGGAGCGUGCAGGAGUGAGAAUGCCGGCAUGAGUAGCGUAAAACAUGUGAGAACCAUGUUCAUCGAAGAUCUAAGGUUUCCGACGGAAGGUCAGUCCGCGUCGGGUUAGUCGGGCCUAAGCCGAGGCCGAAAGGCGUAGGUGAUGGAUAACUGGUUAAUAUUCCAGUACCGGAGUGUGGAGUUUAUUCGAGACCCUCUAGGGAAGGUGAGCCGCUGAGUGGAUUGCGGUGGCAAGUGGUUAAUGACCAUGAUGCCGUGGGGCAACCCAAGAAGUCACUGACACCGGGAGGCAAGAAAAGCCGAAUAAACGUUGAAGCACACCGACCGUACCACAAACCGACACAGGUAGAUAGGUUGAGAAAACCAAGAUGAACGGGAGAACCUUUGUUAAGGAACUAGGCAAAAAGGUCCCGUAACUUCGGGAGAAGGGACACCCCCGCGAGGGGGUCGCAGCGAAGAGGCUCUACCGACUGUUUACCAAAAACACAGGUCUCUGCAAACGCGAAAGCGGACGUAUAGGGGCUGACACCUGCCCAGUGCCGGAAGGUUAAGAGGAGAGGUUAGGGGMAACCCGAAGCUUUGAAUUGAAGCCCCGGUGAACGGCGGCCGUAACUAUAACGGUCCUAAGGUAGCGAAAUUCCUUGUCGGGUAAGUUCCGACCCGCACGAAAGGUGUAACGAGUGGAGCACUGUCUCAACAAGGGGCCCGGCGAAAUUGAAGUACGUGUAAAGAUGCGCGUUACCCGCAGCUGGACAAAAAGACCCUGUGGAGCUUUACUGUAGCCUGUCAUUGCGUUAGGAUCUUGCUUGUGUAGUAUAGCUGGGAGACGGGGAAGCCUGCUCGCUAGAGUGGGUGGAGUCAACAGUGAAAUACCAGCCUGGCGAUAUUUUGACCCUAACCGCGGUAUAACCAUAUCCGGGACAGUGGCAGGUGGGCAGUUUGACGUGGGGCGGUCGCCUACCUAAAAAGUAACGGAGGCGACCCAAAGGUUGGCUCAGGCGGAAUGGAAACCCGCUGAUGCGUGUAAAGGACAAAAGCCAGCUUGACUGCGAGGCCAACGAGCCGAGCAGAGACGAAAGUCGGGCUUAGUGAUCCUACGGCACUGAGUGGAAGGGCCGUAGCUUACCGGAUAAAAGCUACCCCGGGGAUAACAGGCUAGUCUUGCCCAAGAGUUCACAUCGACGGCAAGGCUCGGCACCUUGAUGUCGGCUCAUCGCAUCCUGGGGCUGGAUAAGGUCCCAAGGGUUGGGCUGUUCGCCCAUUAAAGCGGUACGUGAGCUGGG